Long non-coding RNA from Centrocercus urophasianus (Greater sage-grouse), 5651 nucleotides. RefSeq lists it as uncharacterized. Lineage: Eukaryota; Metazoa; Chordata; Aves; Galliformes; Phasianidae. The transcript has 7 exons. The record is from RefSeq and is a predicted model, not a curated record.
AAUUACUGUCCAGUGCCAUGAAAAUUGCUUGAAGAACAAGUUAGCAGCAUCAUAGCAACCGCCUGCUUAUGGGUUCUUUGUGUCCCUCUCAGAGCCAACCAAAGCAGCCCCCAGGCUUCCAUACAACAUGAUAUGGAGGAAAUUUCGGCAAAGCAUCAAAAAAGCCUGCCUGCAUAGUGCACCUGGCACAUCUUUGAAGCCCUGAAAGGAAGUCUCUGUGUUCUGGUAUCACUUGAGCCUCCACAAAGGAGAUGAAAAGGAGGAAUAAAACAUCUGAACAGCCCUAUCUGGCCUGAGCUGCACACAUGCAUUACAGCAAAGAUGGAUUUCUUCUGGAUCCUCCUGUGUAUCCUCCUCCUUGGGGAUGGCAGCGAGCAUUUCAACACUCCAAUUACAGGAUGUUCAUGUUAAACAGAGAAGAGGGACAGCCAGUUGGUGACAAACAUUUAGGAUAUGGCAUCAGAAGAUCUGCACAACCUGCAGAAGGACCAACUGCAGUGAUCAUCACAGCCCCGCUCCCCACAAGUCUUUGCCGUACAUCAGCUCCUAGCAGGCAGCCUCACCAGGGCUUAAAUCCCCCCAGCUGCUGCAAAAUGGGACCAGAGGCCCCAGCUUAGCUGCAUAUCAGCCCCGAGUCCUGUGGCAUGGGGCUGCACCAGGAGCACUGCUCAUGCUGACCUUUGGAGUCUGCUUGAAAGCAUCUGAUGCUCAUGGCUGAGAGACGGCACAGUCCUUUCCAACUUCCUGGAGUUUUUGCCUUUGUUUUCUUCCCCACUCAAAUGGAAAUGAAAAUGCAGGCUAAGAAAAAUGGCAUUAAUAAUACAAACUGGGAGCCCUUGGGAGAAAAUUUCAGUUUUGGAAAGUCGCUACACUACAUGGAUGUGUCUUGCUUUCAGAAGUUUACCUGGAUUUUUUUGACUCUUCAUGCAUGCAUGUAUUUGUCUGCUGCCAUGCAUGGUCCUUUCUCCUUAUUUAAUUAGGGUACGAUCAUAAGCAUAUUCUUAAAUUAGAAGAAAUAUAUAAAGAUUCAUCCAUUCAGCAGGCAUUUUUUCUGGGAAAAUACAUGUUCUCCUUCAGGUAAAAGAAUGCCGUGGCAUGAAAACCUGUCCUGAAUGCACCGCCUGCUUGACAGAUAUAUACAAAGACUUGAAACCUGAGAGGAAAAGCGGAUGGUUGCAAGCAAAAAAAAAAAAAAUAAUCUAAACAAAAGAAUGGAAUUAAAGCCAGCACCAGGGCACGUAUUAAUACCAUGCUGCUGUCAUUGCCCGCACUGAUUUCUAGGAGCGAUGCAGAGCAUUGUACUCAGCAGGAUAAGACUGACAGACCUCGAAUAUGAACCCCCACUGCCUUCUAAAGAGGAUUUCCCAUGGCCAGUAACUUUUGCUCGGGAGCUCAUCCCAGAAGAGGCAGGCACAAGGCAAGGACCCGGCAUCCUGUGGCAGGCACCAGUGGGGCACUGCUGGGCUCUGCAGCUCCAUUUUCCCCCCAGCCCAGGUGAUAUUAAGCUGCUCCCAGUGGGGCUGGAAAGUCUGAAGAUGUCUGAGGAAUGGAAUAAUGGUAAACAAUGAGAUUGCUGGUGAUAAAGCAAUUCUGGAAAAUGUUUGGAUGAAUUUUCUUCAGAAGAUCCACUUUCCUGUCACCCCUGCCUCUCUGUGCUCUGCUGAUGUUACCCUCUGUAACAAAGAGGUCACCAGAAGGAAGAUGUGCAGGAGGGAGGACUGCUAGGUGGAUAUUCCUAAACAUCCAGCAUACCGCCAACAUGCUGCAUUAGUUCUGGGCCUGAGCAGAGUUAGACAAAAUAGCUUGAAAAAUGGAAGGUAUUUCUUUGUGGAGGAGUCUCAGACCUAGCACAGAUGUCAUGAAUAGUUGAAAUUAUGUCUGAAUUUGAGAAGAAAAAAAACAACUUCCUCUGAGGUGUGUCUUGCAACUGCAAAUGAGGCAUAACUUGAAUAAUCUUAUCAACUAUGAUAAGCUGCUAUUAGCAUUUGAGUUACAUUUCCCUCGAGAAGUCAGGAGGGGCUGCGGCCCCAGAUUAGGGAUCCCUCCUGACAUGUAAAUAGGUAGCACAUAUGGAAAUGGAGUUGUCCCGAGUGUCACCACCUCGAGGUGAAUGAUAGCUAGAGGUGGAAGAGUGGAGAAUAAAUGUUACUGCAAGAAAAGCUGCUGAAUUUCCUUUUGAGAGACUGAUAAUCCCGCAGGCUUCUACAGAAGCAGCUUUUGAUUAUCAUUGCUGAUGAUAUUAGAAGACAUCUCUGGAGUCUGUCCUUUAAAAAAUGUUUCCCUGGUGCUACUUGAAAACAUAUGGGUUGGGAACUGAAGUGAAAAACUGAUGUUUUGCUAACUCUCUUGGCACGAUGGAGGCUUAAAAAUGAUGUGCCUGAUACCAGAGAUGCAUUUUUAACAGUAAAUGAAAGCAGACUGGAUAAAAAUUCAAAAUACUAAAUGCAGAUGAAAGAGGGGCUGGUUAAAGGACCGGAUGAGAAAAGGUAGAUCAGUUCAGCUGGGCUGAACAGCAGAGCUAUUUGAGUUGCUUCGACACACUGAAGGUGCAGACACACACCUGCAACUUACAGAGGGAGCUGAGUAAUCCAGGUCUAACAGUGCAUGUCCAAAUGCACCACUUUGCCAAGGGCUUCAUCAAGUAACAAGAUGGAGAAGCUCAGGCUGCUGCUCGUAUGGUAACAGCUUGGAUGGGUAAGGAACAGAAAGAUGGAGCCAGGCUUCUUCAGUCUAGAAUCUAAUCCAUGCCAGACAGUGGUCUGUAGAUGGCUGCGGUAUCUAACAUAGGCACAGCACCUGGAGGGAAGUUCAUGCCCCCCAAUGGCUCUUAUCCAUAAAAUUAAACCUAUUUCCAGACAACAUACGUUAAUCCUCAGAAGAUAUUGUGUACUGGAAUAAGUGUGUUUUAUACUGGAGCUGGAUGAGGUUAGUUUUGCUGAUUCAAUAGAAUCAGAGAAUCAUUAAGGUUGGAAGAGACCUCCAAGAUCAUCCAGUACAACUGCCCACCUGCCACCACUAUUCCCCCAUUAAACCAUGUCCCUAAAUACCACAUGUACAUGUUUCCUGAGCACCUCCAGGGACUGUAACUUCACCACCUCCUGGGCAACCUGUUCCAGCACCUGACCACUUUUUUUGGAGAAGAAAUUUUUCCUAACCUGAAAAGGUUGGAUAGGUUAUAAGGACCAACCAACCAAACACAAAAAAACAUUAUGCUGAUGCCACUAUAAUGUCUUCACUGUGAAAAAAGCUGGCCAUCAACAAGGGAAAAGCUAGAUAGGCUUCAUCCCAUCAGCUCCACCAACUGUUAAAAAAUGAAUCUGUUGAAGUUGCUGCAGAAAAACUUCUGAAAAGAAGAUACUUUGAAAAAGUGCUGAAUCUGCAGAAUCAUUGCAUCUCUUGGCUGGUCAUGCAUUUUCUGAGCCUCUGCCAAUAAUUGCAGUUUCUGAAAACUUCUGAAAGCAAACAAGCAUUCCCUUCCACGGCUUUCUGUUCCACCACUUUGCCUCUUUUGGGUCCAUUAGUCAGUACAUGCAUACCCCCACAGUCAGGUGACCAGCAGAUUGGUGCUACAAAACUGCUUUGCCUUCCAGAAUGUCAGGUGAUGAAAUUUAGGAGGCUUGGGUGUAUUCAUAAGAUCAAAUAGCCAACUGCUGACGAGGUAGGUAUCCUGUGCCAGCAUGGGAAGACUCACCACCUACUUAAUUUCUGUAACCAGGUCUGAUAUUUCCCCAGGAAAUGUUUAAUAAAGAUGCCAAAACAUUUUAUUAUACCUGAAUGCCCCUUAAUAAAGAUGCAUUUUUGGUAUAUGGUGGUUACAGUGCCUGCUGAAGCAAUAAAGUUCUGUGGCAUCCUGAAGAAAUGGUAGAUCCUAAAGACAGCCUUUGCUCUUAGCCACAACUAAUUAGCAGUAUCUAUUUCUGAGUUUUACCCGGCCCUGUUUUAACAAUCUCUAACUAGGAGCUUAACCUCUGUUCCAAAAACUGACGUGGGUAAAAUGCACUUAACAUUGCUCACAAUUCUUACAACAGACAGAACAGGUUUUGCAUUUGGCUACACAGAGAAGUUCUAUUUCAGUGAUUUUAGGUGCUAGGAUUUCUCCAGUUGUGACUCAAGCCAUGACUUCCCAUUAAAAGAAGCCUUUAUGCUUCUUCGUCCAGGAGACAGGUCACGUUCUAAGACAAUUCAAACUAUUUUAUUCUAUGUCUAAAUUGAACAAUAAAAACUGUUAUCCUUUAUGACCAGCAACCAAUUAACUGACCUGGUGAUAGGGAAUUAAGUCAAUCUUCUUCCUUUGAAACAACAGCUGAAAUAGCAGCGGUACAGUUCUUUGUCUCCUGUUUGAGAGCAGGAGAGGAGGAAGGAUUGGAACAGGAUCACCGACAGACAGAAAUCUUGCCCUUGUUGCAACACCAAAAUGCUUCCCAUUAACUUCUGGAUGCUGAGAUCUCCCCAUCAUGUCACGCUUUCUAGGAAGCCUUCAUAAAAUCAGGAUAAAUGACAGCGGAGUGUGAGGAGUGCUCCCCAGCCCAAUGAAGGAAGAAAAUGGAAUGAAUGUGCAUUAAAUAUGGAAAAAAAUUGAAUGUUUGGAGUAAGGAUAAAUGGGCUGUGCUUCCACAGCUCACUUUUCCAGGCACAAUGCUCUCAUGGCUGCCAUAUGUGACAUGCUUUGUUGGAUCCUUCAGGACAACUCAGUCUCAGCUAGAAGAGAUUGCACCGAGCAACUUAGUUGGUGAUGCUUAGAAUCCAUUCUGUGCUGCUUCGUGGACAGCCCUAAACCCUGCAUACAUGGUUGGUGCAGAACUGGGAGGUCACAAAACCAGCUACCAGAGACAUACCUGAGGCAACAAAGAAAUGAAUUCAUGUCUGGCUACUGAGGGAAAAGUGCCAGUUAUUUGUGUAGUUAUGUACAACUGCUGUCCAGAAGUACUGCAAAGUGUCAAAUGUAAAUGCAGGGUGCAGAGAAGAUGUUGGUCCUACUGGCAGGGUCCUUUACAGCGCUCCCAAGUGCCAAUAUCUAAGAACCAAGCUGGACUGGACACCAGGGCAAUGCCAAAGAGUGUUCACAGAUGGGCACAGCACAGGCAAAUGAAUGCUAAAGAAAAUCUGGUGGAUGAUGUGACUCUUCUUAACAAAGGAACUAUUGUUUGUUUUGCCCAAUCCUGCCCCCUGGAGCUUUCAUCUGAGCCUUGGGAAAGCAAGCUGCCAUGUCCAGCACCGCUCCUGGCUGCUCUCUCCUUGCUGUCCCUCCCUGGUUCCCUCAGUGCAUUCUCCAACACUUGAAAAUUCACCCGACUCGUGACUCACAUCUUAAUCUUAUCCAAGUCACAAUGUUUAUUUCACAGGAUGCCCAAUUAAACAGUAAUUCAGCCUGCUCUGGAGUUGUUUCCUUCCCAUAUGGUGAUUGGUAUAACCUGAAUAAUGUCGGAAGCACAGAAGAAAAGGCAGAAAAGAACUUCAGUGAUAUUGGGAGAGCAAGCUACAACUUCUCCCACUGAAGAAGAGUGGAAAAGAGCAUGCACAGAAGUGUUAACAUGGGUCAUCAUUUCUGAUGCUCCCUGACUCCUAAGAAGAGGAGGGAAGGAUUUCAGACUGGGUAUCAGGAAAAACUUCUUCCUUUAAAAGAGUGGUCAGGAGAACAGGCUGCCCAGGGA